Molecule: long non-coding RNA, 1244 nt
Organism: Dermacentor andersoni
Lineage: Eukaryota; Metazoa; Arthropoda; Arachnida; Ixodida; Ixodidae
Source: RefSeq, a predicted model, not a curated record
ACUUACGCCAACUUGCUUGGGCUUAAUGAAGAAACGAUAAAUUAAUGAAAAUGAAAGUGGAUGAAAAAACAACCUUCGCAUUUCGUGUGCGAUGUUCUACCAAUUGAGCUACCGCGGCGCCGUUCCCCAUCCACUUUCAUGGGUAUUUAUAUUGUGGGAUCGUUCCCCACCUGCAGCAAGUUGUUUUUAAUCCACUUUCAUUUCCAUUAAUCUAUCGUUUCUUUAUUAAGCACAAGUAAUUUCCCCUAUGUUGUCCUUGGUGUCAGUGUUUGUUGCCUUCUUAUGAGGUUGUCUACUAGUGUUGCUUGUGUAAAAGUAUCAGAAAUUCAAGCUGAAUUUCAUAUUCUGCAUACUGCUUCGCCUAGUAAUCGUGCUUCAUUGUACAGAUGCUCAAGCUGAAGUAAUGAGGAGUCAGUGACAAAGUGGCAAACAAGUGUAACUUCAUGUUGCGGGAGGUUUAAAAUGGCAGGAGGUAUUGUAAGCUGCAUGAUACUUGUCAUUACUGCGAGUUUUUUUCUAUGCUCAAGCUGAAGUUAUAAGGAGUCCGUGACAAAGUUAUAGACAAGUGUAAUUUCAUGUUGCGGUUUGAAAGGUUUGAAAUGGCAGGAGGCAUUAGUCCCUGGUGGUACCAUGGUGGCUUCAGAGACACAGUGCAGCCAGAGCACUGGCAUCAAUAAAUACCACGAGUGCAAUGUGUGCGGGCAUCAUUUCAUGCUCGUGGAGGAGAAGCCAAGUGCAUGCCCCAUCUGCAAGCAGACGUUUGCUCAAAAGCAUUCAGUCACGACCCAACAGCUCGUGCACUCUGUCAAAAGACGGUUUCCCUGUUCUAUACGUGGGAAGCUGUUUAUGCAGAGGUACCUUGCUGUGCAUAGGACUCGUACCAGCACAAGAAGCUGUUCCAGUGCUGUCACUGUUUGGCAAUAUUAGCAAACAGGAGGUCACUCAAAGUCCACAUGAGACUGCACACCAAUGAGAAGGCACACAAGUGUAACACGUAUGGCAAGCUGUUCAACGAAAAGCGUUCAUUAGUUCAGCACCAACCCAUUCACGCAGACGAGAAGCAAUGCAAGUGCGAGCUGUGCCCAUCUGUGUUUCGCCACAAGGAGCCACUGAACAGACACAAGGAGCUCCGUACUAGGGGAGUAGACCUGCACCACUGCAAUGAGUGUGGUGAGAUCUUUGUGUGGAAAGGGAAACUGAAGGAGCAUCUGCAGUGGCACAUAAACAAUAUGCUUUACACAUGC